Molecule: ribosomal RNA, 434 nt
Filed under: uncultured bacterium
Lineage: Bacteria
Description: bacterial SSU rRNA
Rfam family: Bacterial small subunit ribosomal RNA
Source: RNAcentral
GCAAAACGCGAAGAACCUUACCUACCCUUGACAUGUCUGGAAUGCCGAAGAGAUUUGGUAGUGCUCGCAAGAGAACCGGAACACAGGUGCUGCAUGGCUGUCGUCAGCUCGUGUCGUGAGAUGUUGGGUUAAGUCCCGCAACGAGCGCAACCCUUGUCAUUAGUUGCUACGAAAGGGCACUCUAAUGAGACUGCCGGUGACAAACCGGAGGAAGGUGGGGAUGACGUCAAGUCCUCAUGGCCCUUAUAGGUGGGGCUACACACGUCAUACAAUGGCUGGUACAAAGGGUUGCCAACCCGCGAGGGGGAGCUAAUCCCAUAAAGCCAGUCGUAGUCCGGAUCGCAGUCUGCAACUCGACUGCGUGAAGUCGGAAUCGCUAGUAAUCGUGGAUCAGAAUGUCACGGUGAAUACGUUCCCGGGUCUUGUACACACCG